CCUACGGGUGGCAGCAGUGAGGAAUAUUGGUCAAUGGGCGCGAGCCUGAACCAGCCAAGUCGCGUGAGGGAAGACGGUCCUAUGGAUUGUAAACCUCUUUUGUCGGGGAGCAAAAGACGCCACGCGUGGCGUUCCGAGCGUACCCGACGAACAAGCAUCGGCUAACUCCGUGCCAGCAGCCGCGGUAAUACGGAGGAUGCGAGCGUUAUCCGGAUUUAUUGGGUUUAAAGGGUGCGCAGGCGGAAGAUCAAGUCAGCGGUAAAAUUGAGAGGCUCAACCUCUUCGAGCCGUUGAAACUGGUUGUCUUGAGUGAGCGAGAAGUAUGCGGAAUGCGUGGUGUAGCGGUGAAAUGCAUAGAUAUCACGCAGAACUCCGAUUGCGAAGGCAGCAUACCGGAGCUCAACUGACGCUCAUGCACGAAAGUGUGGGUAUCGAACAGGAUUAGAUACCCUAGUAGUC
RNAcentral lists this ribosomal RNA (459 nucleotides) under uncultured bacterium. RNAcentral describes it as "partial 16S ribosomal RNA". It matches the Rfam family "Bacterial small subunit ribosomal RNA", at positions 338 to 795 of the family's 1533-position model. The record is from RNAcentral.